Molecule: non-coding RNA, 259 nt
Organism: Chlorocebus sabaeus (green monkey)
Lineage: Eukaryota; Metazoa; Chordata; Mammalia; Primates; Cercopithecidae
Rfam family: Metazoan signal recognition particle RNA
About the family: The signal recognition particle (SRP) is a universally conserved ribonucleoprotein. It is involved in the co-translational targeting of proteins to membranes. The eukaryotic SRP consists of a 300-nucleotide 7S RNA and six proteins: SRPs 72, 68, 54, 19, 14, and 9.
Source: Rfam
GCCGGGCGCGGUGGCUCAAGCCUGUAAUCCCAGCACUUUGGGAGGCCGAGGUGGGCGGAUCACCUGAGGUCAGGAGUUCAAGACCAGCCUGGCCAACAUGGUGAAACCCUGUCUCUACUAAGAAUACAAAAANNNNNNNNNNAUUACAGGCACCUGCCACCACAGUCAGCUUAUUUUUUGUAUUCUUAGUAGAGACAGGGUUUCACCAUGUUGGCCAGGCUGGUCUUGAACUCCUGACCUCAGGUGAUCCGCCCACCUU